UGGGGAAUAUUGCACAAUGGGCGCAAGCCUGACGACGCAACGCCGCGUGGGGGAUGAAGGCCUUCGGAUUGUAAACCCCUGUCGAGCGGGACGAAUGACUCACGACCUAACACGUCGUGGGACUGACGGUACCGCUAAAGGAAGCCACGGCUAACUCUGUGCCAGCAGCCGCGGUAAUACAGAGGUGGCAAGAGUGGUUCGGAAUUACUGGGGGUAAAGGGCGCGUAGGCGGCCUUCUAAGUCAGAGGU
This 249-nucleotide ribosomal RNA is filed under the name uncultured Acidobacteriota bacterium. RNAcentral describes it as "uncultured Acidobacteria bacterium partial 16S ribosomal RNA". It matches the Rfam family "Bacterial small subunit ribosomal RNA", at positions 355 to 595 of the family's 1533-position model. Lineage: Bacteria; Pseudomonadati; Acidobacteriota. The record is from RNAcentral.